GAUGAACGCUGACAGAAUGCUUAACACAUGCAAGUCAACUUGAACCUCGGUAUGGGCGGCGGACGGGUGAGUAACGCGUAAAGAACUUGCCUCACAGCAAGGGACUCUAUUUGGACAUGAACGCUAACAUCUGAUAUUAUGAUUAUAUGGCAUAUUAGAAUUACGAAAGCUAUAUGCGCUGUGGGAGAGCUUUGCGUCACAUUAGCUCGUUGGAGAGGUAACAGCUCACCAAGGCGAUGAUGGGUAGCCGGCCUGGGAGCGUGAUCGGUCACAAGGGGACUCGGGCACGGCCCUUACGGCUUCGGGAGGCAUGAGUGGAGAAUAUUGGACAAUGGACCGAGAGUCUGAUCCAGCAAUUCUGUGUGCAAGAUGAAGUUUUUCGGAAUGAAAAGUGCUUUCAGUUGGGAAGAAAAAAAUGACGGUACCAACAGAAGAAGUGACGGCUAAAUACGUG
This 454-nucleotide ribosomal RNA is filed under the name uncultured bacterium. RNAcentral's name for it is "partial 16S ribosomal RNA". It matches the Rfam family "Bacterial small subunit ribosomal RNA", at positions 28 to 507 of the family's 1533-position model. The record is from RNAcentral.